RNAcentral lists this long non-coding RNA (762 nucleotides) under Homo sapiens (human). Its description in RNAcentral is "HSALNT0308078". Lineage: Eukaryota; Metazoa; Chordata; Mammalia; Primates; Hominidae. The record is from RNAcentral.
UAAUGGACAAUAAAGGAGACAGUUGCUGGAGUUUUGUUUGUUUUUUUUUUUUUGUUUUUGAGACUGGGUUUCGCUCUGUCAUCCAGGCUGACGGGCAAUGGCGGGAUCAUGGCUCAGUGCAGUUUCGAUCUCCUGGGCUCAAGUGGUCCUCCCACCUCAGCCUCCCAAGAAGUUGGGACCACAGGAGGGGGCCACCAUACCCGGCUAAUUUUUUUGAUGUUUUGUAGAUAUAGGGUCUCCCUAUGUUGCCCAGGUUGGUCUCUAACUCCUGAGCUCAAGUGUUCUGCCCACUUCAGCCUCCCAAAGUGCUAGGGUGAAAGGCCUGAGUCACCACUGCCAGCCAAUUGCUGAAGUUUUUGGAAAAGAAAAUUCUUGUCUGAUCCAUGGGAGUUGCUUCAAAGGUACUCUCUGCUUUUGUAGAUAUGAACUAGGAAGCAUGUAACUGUGGUUGCUUCUGACUACACUAGAAGACGCAGCCUAAGACGAAAACUGCUUCACAGGAGAUAGAGUGCAGCAGUGGAAAGAAAGCAGGCCACAGGAUUCUGCUGCAAAUUCUAACAGGAGGAGGCAAUGGCAGCCCUUACUAAAACCGCAGAACUACAGGAAGAGGAUCCCUGAGUGGGAUUCCUGUGUGAAAGGCAUUUUCACCUUUUUGUGUAUCUUCAGAAUCUUAACUUUCAUGAGAGAAGAAUAGAAAUGCAACAAUGGAACAAUCCACUGUAUACACGUAGCUGACAAUUUAAUAAACUUGAAGGAAAUGCU